Molecule: RNA transcript, 806 nt
Organism: Selaginella moellendorffii
Lineage: Eukaryota; Viridiplantae; Streptophyta; Lycopodiopsida; Selaginellales; Selaginellaceae
Exons: 3
Source: RefSeq, a predicted model, not a curated record
UCUUUCUGUAUUGCAGCCAUGGGGAGGGUCACGGCAUCGCCCAAGCGCGAGGAUCCGCCGCAGACGCCCGCUGGGAUGGCUGGGAGCCAUCUGAACAACAUCCCGCUGAGCGUGGCGAUGGAGAGAUUGGGGCUUCGCUCGCAAAUGCGUGACAAUGGGCCAGUCGUCUUUGAUGGCCUCCAGCAGCAGCAGCAGAUUGGGCGGCGAUCCAAGCUCGUCCAGGAGAAGGCGGCCAUGGACAAGGCGAUCAUCGAGAUCAUCACCAGCGGCCAGUGGGAGCGAUUGGAGCCCAACUCGAGCAAAUCCAUCGCGGUGGGGAAUCACCAUGUCUGCGUGAGCUACGAUGAGGAGAUGGAGGUGGGAUAUCGGACGUGGGAGUGGCACGGCCAUAUGCUUCUCUACGACGAGGAAGAAGGGAUGUACAAGCCCGAGUACGUCUAUGGGAAUUACUUCGAGCCUCUCCAGGGAGUUCUCAAGAUCGCCUCCAACGUGGGAUCAAUGGAAUGGAGAGGAUGAUGUCUCUCUUGGGAAGGCAGCACCGCUUCUACUAAUGAUCGAUCACUUUACCGCUUGAGGUUUGCAUUGUCUUUCGAUACUCGAUCGAAGUUUCCAAAAGCUGGUCUCCGUAGAAAUGUAGACGAUUAUAGUAGCUUCUUUCAGAAUGUAAGUUUUGACCAGUGGGAUCUAUUCUAUGCACUUAGGCAUUAAACGUCUUAAUAAUUAGGGGAUGUAGCUAAAUUAGUACUAAGAAGGUAUCUUUUAUGUUAUUUAGUCUAUUCAAAAAUCAAAACCUUGUUUUCAAAUUU